AUGGGGUUACCGACGCACGACGCUUUGACCGACACCGUCACCGCUUCCCCCGCCGCCGGCCCCGCCGAGGACACUUCGACGGACGCUUCUGGCGCGCCGAGCCGCCUGUACCGCGCGUUCAGUCGCGCCCGCGAUGUGCUGGCACCCGUAUACCAGACGCUUAGGUUCGUCGGCAGCGUUGCCCAACUUGUCGUCGGCGUGAUGGAAAUUGCUCGGGACGUGCGCUAUGUCGCAAAUUGUGCAAGAGGCGCUCUCUACCGCGGACGCGGUGGCGACCCUCCCGCUGAAGGUGGUCAUGCUCUGGAGUCAGGACCGCAGCGGCAGGCUCCCGUCGACGGUGACGGUGACGGUGCUUCAGUCAAGUAA
RNAcentral lists this ribosomal RNA (366 nucleotides) under Triticum aestivum (bread wheat). RNAcentral describes it as "partial small subunit ribosomal RNA". Lineage: Eukaryota; Viridiplantae; Streptophyta; Magnoliopsida; Poales; Poaceae. The record is from RNAcentral.